CCUACGGGCGGCAGCAGUGAGGAAUAUUGGUCAAUGGGCGCGAGCCUGAACCAGCCAAGUAGCGUGAAGGAUGACUGCCCUAUGGGUUGUAAACUUCUUUUAUAUGGGAAUAAAAUGUUCCACGUGUGGGAUUUUGUAUGUACCAUAUGAAUAAGGAUCGGCUAACUCCGUGCCAGCAGCCGCGGUAAUACGGAGGAUCCGAUCGUUAUCCGGAUUUAUUGGGUUUAAAGGGAGCGUAGGUGGAUUGUUAAGUCAGUUGUGAAAGUUUGCGGCUCAACCGUAAAAUUGCAGUUGAAACUGGCAGUCUUGAGUACAGUGGAGGUGGGCGGAAUUCGUGGUGUAGCGGUGAAAUGCUUAGAUAUCACGAAGAACUCCGAUUGCGAAGGCAGCUCACUGGACUGCAACUGACACUGAGGCUCGAAAGUGUGGGUAUCAAACAGGAUUAGAUACCCGAGUAGUC
RNAcentral lists this ribosomal RNA (460 nucleotides) under uncultured bacterium. RNAcentral's name for it is "partial 16S ribosomal RNA". It matches the Rfam family "Bacterial small subunit ribosomal RNA", at positions 338 to 795 of the family's 1533-position model. The record is from RNAcentral.